UACGUAGGGUGCGAGCGUUGUCCGGAAUUAUUGGGCGUAAAGAGCUCGUAGGCGGUGUGUCACGUCAGCCGUGAAAACCUGCAGCUUAACUGUGGGCGUGCGGUCGAUACGGGCAUCACUGGAGUUCGGCAGGGGAGACUGGAAUUCCUGGUGUAGCGGUGAAAUGCGCAGAUAUCAGGAAGAACACCGACGGCGAAGGCAGCUCGCUGGGACGGUACUGACGCUGAGGCGCGAAAGCGUGGGGAGCGAACAGG
This 254-nucleotide ribosomal RNA is filed under the name uncultured bacterium. RNAcentral describes it as "partial 16S ribosomal RNA". It matches the Rfam family "Bacterial small subunit ribosomal RNA", at positions 524 to 776 of the family's 1533-position model. The record is from RNAcentral.